AGUGAACGCUGGCGGUAGGCCUAACACAUGCAAGUCGAACGGCAGCACAGUAAGAGCUUGCUCUUACGGGUGGCGAGUGGCGGACGGGUGAGGAAUACAUCGGAAUCUACUUUUUCGUGGGGGAUAACGUAGGGAAACUUACGCUAAUACCGCAUACGACCUUCGGGUGAAAGCAGGGGAUCUUCGGACCUUGCGCGAUUGAAUGAGCCGAUGUCGGAUUUGCUAGUUGGCGGGGUAAAGGCCCACCAAGGCGACGAUCCGUAGCUUGUCUGAGAGGAUGAUCAGCCACACUGGAACUGAGACACGGUCCAGACUCCUACGGGAGGCAGCAGUGGGGAAUAUUGGACAAUGGGCGCAAGCCUGAUCCAGCCAUACCGCGUGGGUGAAGAAGGCCUUCGGGUUGUAAAGCCCUUUUGUUGGGAAAGAAAAGCAGCAGGUUAAUACCCAGCUGUACUGACGGUACCCAAAGAAUAAGCACCGGCUAACUUCGUG
This 492-nucleotide ribosomal RNA is filed under the name uncultured bacterium. Its description in RNAcentral is "partial 16S ribosomal RNA". It matches the Rfam family "Bacterial small subunit ribosomal RNA", at positions 29 to 507 of the family's 1533-position model. The record is from RNAcentral.